RNAcentral lists this ribosomal RNA (1343 nucleotides) under uncultured bacterium. RNAcentral describes it as "16S ribosomal RNA". It matches the Rfam family "Bacterial small subunit ribosomal RNA", at positions 28 to 1378 of the family's 1533-position model. The record is from RNAcentral.
GACGAACGCUGGCGGCGUGCUUAACACAUGCAAGUCGAACGGAAAGGCCCUGCUUUUGUGGGGUGCUCGAGUGGCGAACGGGUGAGUAACACGUGAGUAACCUGCCCUUGACUUUGGGAUAACUUCAGGAAACUGGGGCUAAUACCGGAUAGGAGCUCCUGCUGCAUGGUGGGGGUUGGAAAGUUUCGGCGGUUGGGGAUGGACUCGCGGCUUAUCAGCUUGUUGGUGGGGUAGUGGCUUACCAAGGCUUUGACGGGUAGCCGGCCUGAGAGGGUGACUGGCCACAUUGGGACUGAGAUACGGCCCAGACUCCUACGGGAGGCAGCAGUGGGGAAUAUUGCACAAUGGGCGGAAGCCUGAUGCAGCAACGCCGCGUGCGGGAUGACGGCCUUCGGGUUGUAAACCGCUUUCGCCUGUGACGAAGCGUGAGUGACGGUAAUGGGUAAAGAAGCACCGGCUAACUACGUGCCAGCAGCCGCGGUGAUACGUAGGGUGCGAGCGUUGUCCGGAUUUAUUGGGCGUAAAGGGCUCGUAGGUGGUUGAUCGCGUCGGAAGUGUAAUCUUGGGGCUUAACCCUGAGCGUGCUUUCGAUACGGGUUGACUUGAGGAAGGUAGGGGAGAAUGGAAUUCCUGGUGGAGCGGUGGAAUGCGCAGAUAUCAGGAGGAACACCAGUGGCGAAGGCGGUUCUCUGGGCCUUUCCUGACGCUGAGGAGCGAAAGCGUGGGGAGCGAACAGGCUUAGAUACCCUGGUAGUCCACGCUGUAAACGGUGGGUACUAGGUGUGGGGUCCAUUCCACGGGUUCCGUGCCGUAGCUAACGCUUUAAGUACCCCGCCUGGGGAGUACGGCCGCAAGGCUAAAACUCAAAGGAAUUGACGGGGCCCCGCACAAGCGGCGGAGCAUGCGGAUUAAUUCGAUGCAACGCGUAGAACCUUACCUGGGUUUGACAUGGAUCGGGAGUGCUCAGAGAUGGGUGUGCCUCUUUUGGGGUCGGUUCACAGGUGGUGCAUGGCUGUCGUCAGCUCGUGUCGUGAGAUGUUGGGUUAAGUCCCGCAACGAGCGCAACCCUUGUUCACUGUUGCCAGCACGUUAUGGUGGGGACUCAGUGGAGACCGCCGGGGUCAACUCGGAGGAAGGUGGGGAUGACGUCAAGUCAUCAUGCCCCUUAUGUCCAGGGCUUCACGCAUGCUACAAUGGCUGGUACAGAGAGUGGCGAGCCUGUGAGGGUGAGCGAAUCUCGGAAAGCCGGUCUCAGUUCGGAUUGGGGUCUGCAACUCGACCUCAUGAAGUCGGAGUCGCUAGUAAUCGCAGAUCAGCAACGCUGCGGUGAAUACGUUCCCGGG